CCUACGGGUGGCAGCAGUAGGGAAUAUUGCUCAAUGGGGGAAACCCUGAAGCAGCAACGCCGCGUGGAGGAUGACGGUUUUAGGAUUGUAAACUCCUUUUGUUAGAGGAGUUUAUGACGGUAUCUAACGAAUAAGCACUGGCUAACUCCGUGCCAGCAGCCGCGGUAAUACGGAGGGGGCAAGCGUUACACGGAUUCACUGGGCGUAAAGCGUGCGUAGGCGGGUUAAUAAGUCAGAUGUGAAAUCCUGUAGCUUAACUACAGAACUGCAUUUGAAACUGGUACUCUGGAGUGUGGGAGAGGUAGGAGGAAUUCGUGGUGUAGGGGUAAAAUCCGUAGAUAUCAAGAGGAAUACUCAUUGCGAAGGCGACCUGCUGGAACAUUACUGACGCUGAUGCACGAAAGCGUGGGGAGCAAACAGGAUUAGAUACCCUAGUAGUC
RNAcentral lists this ribosomal RNA (440 nucleotides) under uncultured bacterium. RNAcentral's name for it is "partial 16S ribosomal RNA". It matches the Rfam family "Bacterial small subunit ribosomal RNA", at positions 338 to 795 of the family's 1533-position model. The record is from RNAcentral.